This 475-nucleotide ribosomal RNA is filed under the name uncultured Pseudomonadota bacterium. RNAcentral's name for it is "bacterial SSU rRNA". It matches the Rfam family "Bacterial small subunit ribosomal RNA", at positions 355 to 821 of the family's 1533-position model. Lineage: Bacteria; Pseudomonadati; Pseudomonadota. The record is from RNAcentral.
UGGGGAAUUUUGGACAAUGGGGGCAACCCUGAUCCAGCCAUGCCGCGUGUGUGAAGAAGGCCUUCGGGUUGUAAAGCACUUUCGGCCGGAACGAAAUCGCGCGGGCUAACACUCCGCGUGGAUGACGGUACCGGAAGAAGAAGCACCGGCUAACUACGUGCCAGCAGCCGCGGUAAUACGUAGGGUGCGAGCGUUAAUCGGAAUUACUGGGCGUAAAGUGUGCGCAGGUGGCCGCGCAAGUCGAGUGUGAAAGCCCCGGGCUUAACUUGGGAAUUGCGCUCGAAACUACGUGGCUAGAGUGUGGCAGAGGAAGGUGGAAUUCCACGUGUAGCGGUGAAAUGCGUAGAGAUGUGGAGGAACACCGAUGGCGAAGGCAGCCUUCUGGGCCAACACUGACGCUCAUGCACGAAAAGCGUGGGGAGCAAAACAGGAUUAGAUACCCUGGUAGUCCACGCCCUAAAGAUGAUGACUAGUU